UCCGAGUUGACCCCGGCAGUCUCCGAUGAGUCCCCGGCAUAACCCGCUGGCAACAUCGGACAAGGGUUGCGCUCGUUGCGGGACUUAACCCAACAUCUCACGACACGAGCUGACGACAGCCAUGCAGCACCUGUGUUCCGAUUCCCUUUCAGGCACACCCACCUCUCAGCGGGCUCUCGGACAUGUCAAGGGUAGGUAAGGUUGUUCGCGUUGCAUCGAAUUAAUCCACAUCAUCCACCGCUUGUGCGGGCCCCUGUCAAUUCCUUUGAGUUUUAACCUUGCGGCCGUACUCCCCAGGCGGGGUGCUUAAUGCGUUAGCUGCGCCACCGACCGGCAUGCCGACCGACGGCUAGCACCCAUAGUUUACGGCGUGGACUAC
RNAcentral lists this unclassified non-coding RNA (379 nucleotides) under uncultured bacterium. RNAcentral's name for it is "contains 16S-23S intergenic spacer region". The record is from RNAcentral.